UAUUCUGAAGACUAGACUUUACGGCUAGACAUUUCGAUUUUAGGACUGCAAUGCUUUUAAUGAACAAGACAUCGGGCUUCAUAAUACCGGUGCUUUCAACAGAAAACAAAUAAUGAUCGCGUACGCGGCCUAAUUGCACCUUAUCUGCAAAUUCGGGAUGUCUCAAGCAUUCGCGGGAUACGGUGUCUUUUCGAACGUCU
Molecule: non-coding RNA, 200 nt
Organism: Schizosaccharomyces pombe (fission yeast)
Lineage: Eukaryota; Fungi; Ascomycota; Schizosaccharomycetes; Schizosaccharomycetales; Schizosaccharomycetaceae
Source: the annotation of a GenBank genome assembly